This 69-nucleotide transfer RNA is filed under the name Camelus bactrianus (Bactrian camel). It matches the Rfam family "tRNA". Rfam says of the family: Transfer RNA (tRNA) molecules are approximately 80 nucleotides in length. Their secondary structure includes four short double-helical elements and three loops (D, anti-codon, and T loops). RNAcentral also lists the same sequence under 2 other names. Lineage: Eukaryota; Metazoa; Chordata; Mammalia; Artiodactyla; Camelidae. The record is from Rfam by way of RNAcentral.
GGAGUAGCUCAGGGGUAGAGCAUGUGCCUAGCAUGCAUGAGGUCCUGGGUUCAAUCCCCAGUAUCUCCU